This 76-nucleotide transfer RNA is filed under the name Acidobacteriota bacterium. RNAcentral describes it as "Acidobacteria bacterium (bioreactor metagenome) tRNA-Cys". It matches the Rfam family "tRNA". From Rfam's summary of the family: Transfer RNA (tRNA) molecules are approximately 80 nucleotides in length. The record is from RNAcentral. Lineage: Bacteria; Pseudomonadati; Acidobacteriota.
GCACGUCUGGCCGAGUGGUGUGAGGUACCUGCCUGCAAAGCAGGGAAGAUCGGUUCGAUUCCGAUGGCGUGCUCCA